RNAcentral lists this small RNA (1209 nucleotides) under uncultured bacterium. RNAcentral describes it as "bacterial SSU rRNA". The stretch from base 1 to 488 matches the Rfam family "Bacterial small subunit ribosomal RNA", at positions 1045 to 1533 of the family's 1533-position model. The record is from RNAcentral.
AUGGCUGUCGUCAGCUCGUGUCGUGAGAUGUUGGGUUAAGUCCCGUAACGAGCGCAACCCCUAUCCUUAUUUGCCAGCACAUUAUGGUGGGAACUAUAAGGAGACUGCCGGUGAUAAACCGGAGGAAGGCGGGGACGACGUCAAGUCAUCAUGGCCCUUACGACCAGGGCUACACACGUGCUACAAUGGGAAGGACAAAGAGCCGCGAAGCCGCGAGGUGUAGCUAAUCUCACAAAUCUUUUCGUAGUCCGGAUUGGAGUCUGCAACUCGACUCCAUGAAGUCGGAAUCGCUAGUAAUCGUAGAUCAGAAUGCUACGGUGAAUACGUUCCCGGGUCUUGUACACACCGCCCGUCAUACCAUGGGAGUGGGUUGCACCAGAAGUGGCUAGUCUAACUUUGUGAGGACGGUCACCACGGUGUGAUUCAUGACUGGGGUAAAGUCGUAACAAGGUAGCCCUACCGGAAGGUGGGGCUGGAUCACCUCCUUAAGAAAAGUACGAGUGUUCACACAAGUUGUUUGAUAAAAAUAUAGUAAAGAGAGAAUAGACCAAUAACCCAAAAUCAAUGUUAUUGAUAUUAAGGGUCUGUAGCUCAGUUGGUUAGAGCGCACCCCUGAUAAGGGUGAGGUCGGUGGUUCAAAUCCACCCAGACCCACCAAUUUUACUGGGUUAUUAGUGUUAUUUUGGGGCUAUAGCUCAGCUGGGAGAGCGCCUGAUUUGCAUUCAGGAGGUCAGCAGUUCGAUCCUGCUUAGCUCCACCAUUUUCUCUGAUGAAAACUUAAAUAAGAUUUAUUAUUAAGUUUUAUUUAAGUUUUUAUACCUAGCCUUGGCUAGGAGCUCUUUAACAAUUUGGAUAUGAAGUAAAGUUUGUUAAAUACAAUACAACGUAUAAGUAGAUAUAAAUAUGUUAUCGAAGGUGUAUUGCAUUGACACAACAAUUUCAAAAAAUAUGGAUUCUCGAUGAUAGAUUAAUCUCUAUCAUUGAAAAUAGAAAUCACCGAUUAGAUCGAAAGAUUUAGUUAGUGACUUCACAAGGUGAAAUACGAAACCAGAUAACCUAGAUAUUUUGGGGUUAUAUGGUCAAGUGAAUAAGUGCAUACGACGGAUGCCUUGGCAGUAGAAGGCGAUGAAGGACGUGAUAAUCUGCGAUAAGCUUCGGUUAGCUGAUAAAUGAGCUUUAACCCGGAGAUCUCCGAAUGGGGAAACCAAG